This 253-nucleotide ribosomal RNA is filed under the name uncultured bacterium. Its description in RNAcentral is "partial 16S ribosomal RNA". It matches the Rfam family "Bacterial small subunit ribosomal RNA", at positions 524 to 776 of the family's 1533-position model. The record is from RNAcentral.
UACGAAGGGGGCUAGCGUUGUUCGGAUUUACUGGGCGUAAAGCGCACGUAGGCGGAUUGUUAAGUCAGGGGUGAAAUCCUGGAGCUCAACUCCAGAACUGCCUUUGAUACUGGAGAGCUUGAGUCCGGAAGAGGUGAGUGGAACUCCGAGUGUAGAGGUGAAAUUCGUAGAUAUUCGGAAGAACACCCGUGGCGAAGGCGGCUCUCUGGAACGCAACUGACGCUGAGACGCGAAAGCGUGGGGAGCAAACAGG